GGCGGAGUAGCUCAGUUGGUCUAGAGCAACCGGUUCAUACCCGGUAGGUCAUGGGUUCAAAUCCAAUCUCCGCUACCA
This 78-nucleotide transfer RNA is filed under the name Oscillospiraceae bacterium. RNAcentral's name for it is "tRNA-Met". It matches the Rfam family "tRNA". From Rfam's summary of the family: Transfer RNA (tRNA) molecules are approximately 80 nucleotides in length. Their secondary structure includes four short double-helical elements and three loops (D, anti-codon, and T loops). Further hydrogen bonds mediate the characteristic L-shaped molecular structure. tRNAs have two regions of fundamental functional importance: the anti-codon, which is responsible for specific mRNA codon recognition, and the 3' end, to which the tRNAs corresponding amino acid is attached (by aminoacyl-tRNA synthetases). tRNAs cope with the degeneracy of the genetic code in two manners: having more than one tRNA (with a specific anti-codon) for a particular amino acid; and 'wobble' base-pairing, i.e. permitting non-standard base-pairing at the 3rd anti-codon position. The record is from RNAcentral. Lineage: Bacteria; Bacillati; Bacillota; Clostridia; Eubacteriales; Oscillospiraceae.